RNAcentral lists this long non-coding RNA (387 nucleotides) under Papio anubis (olive baboon). Its description in RNAcentral is "lncRNA (ENSPANG00000043456.1)". Lineage: Eukaryota; Metazoa; Chordata; Mammalia; Primates; Cercopithecidae. The record is from RNAcentral.
AGAAAAGAGUUUUAAUUGGCUUAUGGUUUUGCAGGCUAUACAGGAAACAUAGAAGCUUCUGCUCCUGGGGAGGUCCCAGGAAGCUUCCAAUUAUAGCAGAAGACAAAGGAGAAACAGAUUCAAAGAAUUAGCCUGACUAUGUCUCAAGGUGGAUGACUCUGUGGAAGCUUUGAGCUGUAUAUAACAACCUCCUGAUCAUCCAUUUACCUUGCUUUGGUACAUUAGGACUUUAAUAGAAACUGCCUAAUGUGCAGUAAUCUUUCAAAGUGUCAAGGUUAUGAAAGACAAAUGGUCAACAGAGGAACCCUUCCAGAUUGAACGAAAGAUGACACACUAAAAAGGCUUCACGUGAUAGCAGCUCUUUGAUCUUGGACUUCUCAACCUCCU